UCCCCGGUGGCUCAUAGGGUAAAAGCACCUGCCUGCAAUGCGGGAGACCCGGGUUCGAUCCCUGGGUUGGGAA
Non-coding RNA from Bos taurus (domestic cattle), 73 nucleotides. The record is from Rfam. NCBI's taxonomy places the organism in Eukaryota, Metazoa, Chordata, Mammalia, Artiodactyla, Bovidae.